RNAcentral lists this ribosomal RNA (490 nucleotides) under uncultured bacterium. Its description in RNAcentral is "partial 16S ribosomal RNA". It matches the Rfam family "Bacterial small subunit ribosomal RNA", at positions 30 to 507 of the family's 1533-position model. The record is from RNAcentral.
AUUGAACGCUGGCGGCAGGCCUAACACAUGCAAGUCGAACGGUAACAGGAAACAGCUUGCUGUUUCGCUGACGAGUGGCGGACGGGUGAGUAAUGUCUGGGAAACUGCCUGAUGGAGGGGGAUAACUACUGGAAACGGUAGCUAAUACCGCAUAACGUCGCAAGACCAAAGAGGGGGACCUUCGGGCCUCUUGCCAUCGGAUGUGCCCAGAUGGGAUUAGCUAGUAGGUGGGGUAACGGCUCACCUAGGCGACGAUCCCUAGCUGGUCUGAGAGGAUGACCAGCCACACUGGAACUGAGACACGGUCCAGACUCCUACGGGAGGCAGCAGUGGGGAAUAUUGCACAAUGGGCGCAAGCCUGAUGCAGCCAUGCCGCGUGUAUGAAGAAGGCCUUCGGGUUGUAAAGUACUUUCAGCGGGGAGGAAGGGUGUAAAGUUAAUACCUUUACUCAUUGACGUUACCCGCAGAAGAAGCACCGGCUAACUCCGUG